UGGGGAAUCUUGCGCAAUGGGCGAAAGCCUGACGCAGCCAUGCCGCGUGAAUGAUGAAGGUCUUAGGAUUGUAAAAUUCUUUCACCGGGGACGAUAAUGACGGUACCCGGAGAAGAAGCCCCGGCUAACUUCGUGC
Molecule: ribosomal RNA, 136 nt
Filed under: uncultured bacterium
Lineage: Bacteria
Description: partial 16S ribosomal RNA
Rfam family: Bacterial small subunit ribosomal RNA
Source: RNAcentral